Molecule: ribosomal RNA, 363 nt
Filed under: uncultured rumen bacterium
Lineage: Bacteria
Description: partial 16S ribosomal RNA
Source: RNAcentral
UAUUCCCCACUGCUGCCUCCCGUAGGAAUCUGGGCCGUGUCUCAGUCCCAAUGUGGCCGGUCACCCUCUCAGGUCGGCUACUGAUCUUCGUCUUGGUGAGCCGUUACCUCACCAACUAACUAAUCAGACGCGGGGCCAUCCUGUACCACCGGAGUUUUUCACACUGCAUCAUGUGAUGCUGUGCGCUUAUGCGGUAUUAUCGACCGUUUCCAGUCGCUAUCCCCCAGUACAGGGCAGGUUCCCCACGCGUUACUCACCCGUCCGCCACUCAGUCACAAUCUCGUCACCCCGAAGGGAUCGUGAAAAGGUGCUUCGUUCGACUUGCAUGUGUUAGGCACGCCGCCAGCGUUCAUCCUGAGCCAA